AGUGUAGCAUGAACAGGUGCGCUGGCUUUCAAACUAGGUAGACGGGUGUCGGUCGCAAUCUUGACUGAAAGAGACUGAGUGCCAUAAAUAGCCGUUGGAUGCAUCUAUAUGUAGGUUCCUCGUUCUGCAUGGUACGAUGUUAGCUCCAGAAGUCUAAUUACCAAGUAUUUUCAGCGGUCGUUGCUUUUGUGCAAGCAGACCGUGACUGGAAUUAGUAGCUCUUGAGUUCUAACUGAUGAGCUCUUGUCUCCGGACAACCUCCUAGACUCCAGCAGCCUUGCCAUACCUUCCUCUCCGGCAGCUCUGUUACCCCAAGCUCCACCAUCAGCAGCCGACUCCACGCUAAGAAUUGGCGCUUACAGUCCAUGCUGCUUCCCGCCAUGUGAUAAAGCAGGUGUCAUACGAAACAACACCACCAUCACUUGCUUCAUAGACUCAUAUAUAGAGAGAUAUUGCUGUGAAUUUCAGCUCAACAGCAACCAUGGAAACCUCAGUACCGGAUGAACGGCAAGCACUGCUGGACCAAGGUGAUCGUGAACUGACGCGGUCAUCGAAGAGCUGUCAACAACAACAACGACAACCUGUCAAGAUGAACGGAGCAGAGGACAAACAUUUGGUUGGUGAUUCCCACGAUGAAACAUUGUCUGUUGGAAAAUUUACUGUAUCUGGAGGUGCUGUCAUGGACAGAGAUGAGGGAACUGUCACCCCAGGGCAGCUAGGCAGUCCCCACCAAGGACAGGGAGAGGAGCUGCACUCAGGAUUUGAUAAUUCAAUCCUGUUACCUCAGCUGGAGAUUGCCAUCUACCUGCGUGACCAGACUGUUAUACAUGUGACCAUGGAAGAGGGACAGCAGGCCAGGGCUGAGGACCUGAUUGAGGUCGUCCUCACCGAGCAGAAACUUCCCCCAGAGGCUAGGACCAUGUUCUGUCUAUGGCUGGUCUCACCUCUCCUCGAGCUGCGCCUCAAGCCCCAUCACAAACCCUUCUUCCUGGUGUCUCAGUGGGCAGAUCUGUGUGAUAAGUACACAGAGGAGGAUGCUGAUGACAUUGCUAAAGAUGAGCCAAUGUUGAUGUUUCAAAGAGAUGUCUUUUUUCCACGACAACAGGAAGCACAGGUGAGGGAUAGGGAGACCCUGCUGUACCUGUAUCAGGAGGCCAAGUUUAAUGUACUGGAGGGGCGCUAUGUGGUCAGCCCGGAGGAUUACCAUCGUUUGGCAGGAAUAUCAGCGGUCAUACACCUGGGACGGUUCGACAGGAAAAGUCAUAUUUCAGCAUUCUACAGGUCCUCUCUGGAGCAGUUCUACCCAGACUUCAUGUUAAAGAAAAAGUGGUCAUUCUCAGGGCUGUGGUCUAAGAAUUCAGACGAUGGGCUUUCCUCUCAUCUUGAGGCUGCUCAUACAAGGGUAUCAGAUCAGUACCAGAGCGGAGAGCUGCAUCAGGUCUUACCUGAACUGUACAGAGCCUACCUCAACAUCCUGUACAAGUACCCGUUUUAUGGAGGAGCAUUUUUCACCGGUGACAUUGACAGAACAAGCCGAUUGCAGUUUCUAAAGGGAUUCCAAGAUAAGCCUGUGUGGAUUUCUAUCUCAACUGAUGGGGUGACAGUCAUUGAUCGCGAAAAGAACGAGGUUCUGCUAGCUCUCCCAUACGAGACUUUCUCCUGGCAGUACAAAGAGGCUAAGAAGGUGGAUGAUCCCCCCAUCCUUUACCUACAGUUUGUCUGUCCUGAAUCUGCACACAACACCAAGCUGCUCAUUGUCGACUCCUACCAGGCAAAGUUGAUGGAUGCCCUGAUAGAGACUUGUGUCAACCUAAAGAUACAGAAGUACAACACCCCAGCUGAGGAUACUGUGGAUUCCACUCUCCCAAGUCCUUCAUCAGAAAACACCAUAGACCCCUUCAGGACCUGUGCUAACAAACUGGAUCGCUUGUGUCUGGAGACCCUCACCCCUGAGGGGGAGAAAGUUUGAGAAAAAGGAUUUUCGUGGUUAUCUCCCCCUGAUAAAGAAUCUUGUUUUCUGCUGAGAUUUGCAGACAUCACUGUAGCACAAAUCUGUGUUUCUGUGUGUGUAAAUGCAGUAUGUUGUAUUCAUAACAGGGCUUAUUACCUGAAGUUAGUAACAAUUACUUGAUUUUGGUUCUACAUAUCACACGGGUGAUAAGCCACAGUUACAUUGUAGGUAGGUCUACGAAUAUUCAAGCACAAUAGGCACAGUGGUAAAAUUUGAAUGUUACAUUCCAACUUGCUGUGAACAUAAUGAUCACUGCUGCACAUACGUGUAUUCACGUUGGUCAUUGUGUAUUUCAAGGUGACCAUCACAGCCUUCUGUUGAUGUGACAAGGUGACCAUGACAAGGUGACCAUCACCGCCUUCUGUUGGUGUGACAAGCAUCUUUGUAUGUGGCUGUGCUUCUUAAAAAUAUCUACUUUAACGAAGUGUCUAUUUUUCCCAAAGUUUUAAAAUGUUUUUAUGAGUAAUAUAAUAAGGUAUACAUAACAAAGUAUGUAAUCUGGUAUAGCGAGUUUGUGAAUGGGAAUCCAGAAUAGCGGGUAUAAAUGUGACUAAUGCUACUAACUUAACCUUCGUGUGGCUUCCAACUUCCAAGGAUGAAGGCUUAUUGUAGAUGUAGAUUUUAACACGUCAUGGUUAAUCAUUAUCAAAGAUUGCUUUUUUUACAAAUAUUGUCAGAUGUUAUAUUCUCGCAAGUUGAUUUUAGUUGUACUUGUAUGCAGUUAUUAUAGAUGUAAUUGCUUAUGAUUUGAUUGACGUGAGUAAUGUUAUUUUGUGCAUAUGUAAUAAGUUGUCAGGAAUAUAAAACUGCUUGAUCUCUGUCGUCUGGAAAGAGGAAAUAUAUUGAUUAUGGGUAUGUCAUUUGAAACCAUUCCAAGGCCAGGGAAAAUAUUUUUAAAAGUUGAAAAAUUGUAGAAAUUCCACGACAUUUUCAAGUAAUGAUUCUGGCAUAUCAAUCUUGUUAUCGCCAUGAUGGAUCCUUAAAGUAAAAGAAAGCUAAAAUAUGAAGUGAGGUUCAUCAUACAGACAAUUGUAAAGUAUGCAUCAAUGUACUUUUUUUUUCAGAUUUUUGCAUAGAGAGUUAAAGCUAUUUGAACCUUUGAAUUCUAAGGUGGGGUUUAUGUACUGUACUAUCAGAGUUUAGGAAUUCUGAUGUCUCUGGAAGUUUUUCCAACUUUGAUUCACAACACCGAAUGUUGUAAUAACUCUUUAACCCAAGAGUAAAAGAUUACUGAAAUAAUGCUCUCAAAAAUUCAUUCCUUCUGAACAUGAGGAAAAAAAGGUGAUGUGACGUCAUAGUUCCUAAAUACCGUCAGUAUGGCUCAUAAAGCCCACCACAGAAUUCAUGUCAUGCCUGUCAACACGCUUAAAAAAAUCUAAAAAAAAUUAAUGAAAGUAUUUUUACACAUAGUUAACAGUUGUCUGCAUGAUGAACCUUACUUCAUAUUUUAGCUUUCUUUCCCUUUAAGGAAAAGACACCACCACCAAGUGUAUAUACCAGUAUGUAUGGAUAAAGUAUCCCAUAUCACAGUUCAAGGUAGGCAAAUCAAUCACGGUGAGAAAAUUGAAACAAUCCCAUGUUACCAGUUUUCACUUUUAACUUAUCAGGAGCGAGUUAAGUCUAUAACCUGAGAACGUAGCUGUUUCCACUGACGUCACCCUAGUCUUAUUUUGCCUUUUAGCCAUGUGCGUAGGGUAUGAGUAACACAAGGUUGUGUAUCCGGUUUCUAUAACAUGGCGUAUCCCAUGACUUCGUAAGAAUUCCAGAAGUUGAUUUGUUGAGUUACCAAGCAUGCAGGAACAAAAUGACUGUGUUAGUUAAGACCUGUUUCCACCCCUCUUCUGCAAUAACUACACUUAUAUCAUUUGUUGUCUUUUCCUUUUAGUAUAAAAUAUCAUACUUUGUUAUUUCAAUAUUCAGAGCUACUAUUGGCUUAUUCCAUGCUCUGAUCUUUGUCAGUCCAUCAGUAUUGUAUACACACUAUAGUAGGGCACAUUUAUGUUUAUAGAAAGUCAUAUUUUAUACUACAUGAGUUUAUUUCAGCAGUAUAUUUGUCUUGCAGUGAAGCUCAGGUUUAUAUUACAUGUACAGUAUUUUCAGAAUUUUUCAUUUUUCAAAUACAUGUGAAUUUCAUUUCUUAAUUUCACAGUACCCAUAUUUAUAACAAAGGACAGCUGGCCAAAUAUUCAUUAGAGAGAUCAGUUUAUUGUAUGUAAAUGUUCAGUUCAGUUUCUCUGUAUGCACUAAUGUUCCGAAGAAAAUCAUAUACUGCUGCUAUUUUAUAUCUUUUUUUGAUCAAUAUUUUAACAAAUCUUCAAAAUGUGUUAAAAUUGCAAGAAUUUGCAUAUUGCUUCAGAUAUUUGGGUUGAACCCAAAUUUGGCCCCUUUCCAGUAUUAUAAAUUUCAAAAAUGAUUAAUACUUUGAACAUGUACUUCUGUAACAUUUAAUGUGUAUGUGUUUCUUUCCUUUUUGGUCAUAUUGGGCUGGAGCUGGCUUCACAGUAUAAAUAGAACUUUUUCUGUUUUACAACUAACACAACGAUGACUUUGUCACUUACCGUUUGUUUAUUUCAUUUUCGCGGUAGUGAAGAAUAUUUAUGAUGGUGGCCAGCAUAAUGGUGGACUCACUGUGACCACAUUGCCUAGAUGCUUCAGACUAAUUGUGCUAUGCUAGUACACAAACUACACAAACAUGAAACACCCCCCCCCCCACCCCAACUCACAGUUUAUGUGGUCAAGUUAGCUUCCAUCAGUACUGUACUACCGAUUUAGUUAUUAAUAACAAAACAAAAACUGUUCUUUACUAUAGCUUAUAGAUGUACAUGUGUACAUAUAAUUUUGUAUAGAUAUUUACGCUGCAAUAUAAUGGCUUUAGAUUUUUAACACGUUUUAAUCAGCUGCCUGAUAAUAACGUUUAAAUUUUGAACACAGCUUCUCAAUUUUUGUUCCAUUUUUGCCAGAUUCAAAGCUAAUUACCUAAAAACAGUGAAAUUGGAAACAUUGUUGUAAUAGAGUAUUGCCUACAGUUUUUAACUUUUCCAAUGUUUUACAGAUUUUGUGUAAUUUCCUUAUGUUCACUGUCAGCAGCCUUGAAUUACAUAUCAGGCAGUGUUUCUAAACAUUCCCCAUAACAAUUAUAACCAGGGGAAGAGGCAUAGCAGCAGUAAAAUCUCUUGCACAUUUAUUUAAAACAAAGAAAGUGUGUAUAUGUUUCAGAUGUUUAGUUUUGUGACAGCUUUCCCUCAUUUACAUUUGAUCUCAUUUAUGAAUAUAAUGGACCAUUUUAUAGAUUUUUAUCACUUUGUUGUAAAGUUGCUGGUUGUGACUUAAAAUUGCUAAUAAAUCAUUAAUACCAUUAGCCACACUUGUGUUCCCUUUCAUUUAUAAUUGGACACUUACUAUAUUGAUUGUCCCAUCCCCUUCUUGUGUGACUUUCAUGCCCUAGCAUUGAAGCCAUGGUAUCCUUGGUUGUCUCGUAUUACCUCUGUGAAAUUUCAUCUACUUUAAUUAGUCCUACGCAAGUAGUGUCUUGCUAAUGGGUGGUUUCCUUUCAGUUACAAAACUGCUAUUGUUUGGAUGAAAUACUCUGUAGAAUCUUAAACAGUUCCAGUC
RNA transcript from Liolophura sinensis, 5623 nucleotides. It is a transcript of the gene named putative FERM domain-containing protein FRMD8P1, with no coding region annotated. The record is from RefSeq and is a predicted model, not a curated record. The transcript is spliced from 17 exons. Lineage: Eukaryota; Metazoa; Mollusca; Polyplacophora; Chitonida; Chitonidae.